UACAGAGGGUGCAAGCGUUGUUCGGAAUUAUUGGGCGUAAAGGGUGCGUAGGCGGUGCGGUAAGUCUCUUGUGAAAUCUCCAGGCUCAACCUGGAGCCUGCAAGGGAAACUGCCGUGCUUGAGUGUGGGAGAGGUGAGUGGAAUUCCCGGUGUAGCGGUGAAAUGCGUAGAUAUCAAGCGGAACACCGGUGGCGAAGGCGGCCUUCUGGACAGUGACUGACGCUGAGAUGCGAAAGCGUGGGGAGCAAACAGG
Molecule: ribosomal RNA, 253 nt
Filed under: uncultured bacterium
Lineage: Bacteria
Description: partial 16S ribosomal RNA
Rfam family: Bacterial small subunit ribosomal RNA
Source: RNAcentral